This is a long non-coding RNA of Polypterus senegalus (gray bichir), 494 nucleotides long. RefSeq lists it as uncharacterized. Lineage: Eukaryota; Metazoa; Chordata; Cladistia; Polypteriformes; Polypteridae. The transcript has 3 exons. The record is from RefSeq and is a predicted model, not a curated record.
UGCGCACGAAGGUAAAACGACGCGCUAAUUCCCAAGAUGGUCGCAUUUUCACACGUCACUCAGUUUUACGUUCUCUUUCAGUGUGACUUAUCCAUUCAUUCAAUCAUUCAUUCAUUCAUCCACUAACCCCACACCCAGGAGUCGAACCCCACCGCCCCUCCUUUCUCCUUCCUUCCCAGGGAAAUUCGGACAUCAAUGCUCAGCUGCAAAGUAGAGCGCAAACCCUAAUCUUUAUUUAAAGGACCCAAAGACGAGGACGUAAAUGGGUGACGGUUAACCCGGAUUAAGCAGAGCUUUCAAUCUACUUCCCUUCUAUGUACUGUACCAGAAUCCUACCAGCUAAGCCAUGCCAUUUCGACAACGGUUUCUGAAACUUCAGUAUGGUGAAAGGGAUGAGGGUAGCAUCGAGAGAGACAUCUUCUUACGUUGCAGGAACAGACCAAUAGAUGGAUUACAGAAGCAUCUCUCUCUCUCUUACCAAACUGAUGAACUGA